CCUACGGGUGGCAGCAGUGGGGAAUAUUGGACAAUGGUGGGAACCCUGAUCCAGCGACGCCGCGUGCGUGAAGAAGUAUUUCGGUAUGUAAACCUCUAUCAGCAGGGAAGAAAAUGACGGUACGUGACGAAGAAGCCCCGUCUAACUACGUGCCGGCAGCCGCGGUACUACGGCGGGGGCAAGCGUUAUCCGGAUUGACUGGGUGUAAAGGGGGCGUAGGCGGUGAAGCAAGUCAGAUGUGAAAGGUGGGGGCCCAACCAUCGGACUGCAUUUGAAACUGGUGAACUAGAGUACAGGAGAGGUAAGCGGAAUGCCUAGUGUAGCGGGGAAAUGCGUAGAUAUCAGGAGGAACACCAGUGGCGAAGGCGGCUUACUGGACUGUAACUGACGUUGAGGCUCGAAAGCGUGGGGAGCAAACAGGAUUAGAUACCCGAGUAGUC
Molecule: ribosomal RNA, 440 nt
Filed under: uncultured bacterium
Lineage: Bacteria
Description: partial 16S ribosomal RNA
Rfam family: Bacterial small subunit ribosomal RNA
Source: RNAcentral